UACCGGGGGUGCAAGCGUUGCUCGGGAUUAUUGGGCGUAAAGCGCACGUAGGCGGUUCGUUAUGUCAGCUGUGAAAGCCCUUGGCUCAACUGAGGAAGUGCAUCUGAAACUGGCGAGCUAGAGUAUGUAAGAGGGUCGCGGAAUUCCCGGUGUAGAGGUGAAAUUCGUAGAUAUCGGGAGGAACACCGGUGGCGAAGGCGGCGACCUGGGACAAUACUGACGCUGAGGUGCGAAAGCGUGGGGAGCAAACAGG
RNAcentral lists this ribosomal RNA (253 nucleotides) under uncultured bacterium. Its description in RNAcentral is "partial 16S ribosomal RNA". It matches the Rfam family "Bacterial small subunit ribosomal RNA", at positions 524 to 776 of the family's 1533-position model. The record is from RNAcentral.